Molecule: ribosomal RNA, 439 nt
Filed under: uncultured bacterium
Lineage: Bacteria
Description: partial 16S ribosomal RNA
Rfam family: Bacterial small subunit ribosomal RNA
Source: RNAcentral
CUACGGGGGGCAGCAGUGGGGAAUAUUGCACAAUGGACGAAAGUCUGAUGCAGCAACGCCGCGUGGAGGAUGACACAUUUCGGUGCGUAAACUCCUUUUAUAUAGGAAGAUAAUGACGGUACUAUAUGAAUAAGCGCCGGCUAACUCCGUGCCAGCAGCCGCGGUAAUACGGAGGGCGCAAGCGUUACUCGGAAUCACUGGGCGUAAAGAGCGUGUAGGCGGAUAGAUAAGUCAGGAGUGAAAUCCUAUGGCUCAACCAUAGAACUGCUCUUGAAACUGUCUAUCUAGAAUAUGGGAGAGGUAGAUGGAAUUUCUGGUGUAGGGGUAAAAUCCGUAGAGAUCAGAAGGAAUACCGAUUGCGAAGGCGAUCUACUGGAACAUUAUUGACGCUGAGACGCGAAAGCGUGGGGAGCAAACAGGAUUAGAUACCCCGGUAGUC